UACGUAGGGCGCAAGCGUUAUCCGGAAUUAUUGGGCGUAAAGAGCUCGUAGGCGGUUUGUCGCGUCUGCCGUGAAAGUCCGGGGCUCAACUCCGGAUCUGCGGUGGGUACGGGCAGACUAGAGUGAUGUAGGGGAGACUGGAAUUCCUGGUGUAGCGGUGAAAUGCGCAGAUAUCAGGAGGAACACCGAUGGCGAAGGCAGGUCUCUGGGCCUUACCUGACGCUCAGGUGCGAAAGCUAGGGGAGCGAACAGG
This 253-nucleotide ribosomal RNA is filed under the name uncultured bacterium. RNAcentral's name for it is "partial 16S ribosomal RNA". It matches the Rfam family "Bacterial small subunit ribosomal RNA", at positions 524 to 776 of the family's 1533-position model. The record is from RNAcentral.